GACGUCCCACGUCAAAAGCUCAAAACAAUCAACUUGUUGUCAUCAUGUUUUUCAGACACGGUCAUGUUAGAGAUUAAUAAUGCUUUGUUCGAGUUUUCAGCGAAAGCUGCUGCUAUUAUGACCUAGGAAUCGCUUGCCAGGUUAGAAUUGAAUCUCUCAGAAUGGGUUUACCUUCAAAUUUAGAGGUCCAUCGGAAUUCCGUUACAAAUCCAUGCAUGGCAGUUCUUCUUGCUGCAAUCUUGCGAAUCCUUGACAAUAUGACUUUGUCAAGUGGAAUUAUUGGGAAGAAUAGUAAGGCUGAGUUCCAAGCUCCUUGUCGCACCGCCGGAUAUCCCAGAGAGAUUCCACCAUUGCAAUGGUACCGGCGAACAGUUCGUCAAAUGGCAAUUGCGGGAUUUCUGCCAUUCAUUCUUGUAUACACCGAACUUUACUAAAUCUUUGCUAGUGUGUGGUGUCAUAGGAUUUAUACCAUUUACAGCAUCUUGCUCAUCAUCUUUAUUACUCUUCUGAUAGUCACCGCUUUAAUUACGGUGGCAUUGAUUCAUUUACAACUUGCUGCUGAGGACCACAGCUGGUGGUGGAGGUCUUUUCUCUCUGGUGGAUCAACCGGCUCAUUUAUACAUGCCUCC
Long non-coding RNA from Populus euphratica (Euphrates poplar), 629 nucleotides. RefSeq lists it as uncharacterized. The record is from RefSeq and is a predicted model, not a curated record. The transcript is spliced from 3 exons. NCBI's taxonomy places the organism in Eukaryota, Viridiplantae, Streptophyta, Magnoliopsida, Malpighiales, Salicaceae.